GAUCCUGGCUCAGAACGAACGCUGGCGGCGUGCUUAACACAUGCAAGUCGCGUGCGCAGUUCCGUAGCAAUACGGGAUGGGCGCACGGCGCACGGGUGCGUAACACGUGGGCAAUCUGCCCUCCGAUGGGGAAUAACCCCGCGAAAGCGGGGCUAAUACCGCAUAACAUUCCUUGGACUGCGGUUCGAGGAUUCAAAGCAGCAAUGCGUCGGAGGAGGAGCCCGCGCCCGAUUAGCUAGUUGGUGAGGUAACGGCUCACCAAGGCAAUGAUCGGUAGCUGGUCUGAGAGGAUGAUCAGCCACACUGGAACUGAGACACGGUCCAGACUCCUACGGGAGGCAGCAGUGGGGAAUCUUGCACAAUGGGCGAAAGCCUGAUGCAGCGACGCCGCGUGGGGGAUGAAGCUUUUCGGAGUGUAAACCCCUUUCGACUGGGACGAAUGCCCGCAAGGGAGUGACGGUACCAGUAGAAGAAGCCCCGGCUAACUACGUGCCAGCAGCCGCGGUAAGACGUAGGGGGCCAGCGUUGUUCGGAAUUACUGGGUGUAAAGGGUUCGUAGGCGGUGCGGCAAGUCGGGAGUGAAAUCUUUGGGCUUAACCCAGAGGCUGCUUCCGAAACUGCUGUGCUCGAGUGUGGGAGAGGCGCGUGGAAUUGCAGGUGUAGCGGCGAAAUGCGUAGAUAUCUGCAGGAACACCCGUGGCGAAAGCGGCGCGCUGGACCACUACUGACGCUGAGGAACGAAAGCUAGGGGAGCAAACAGGAUUAGAUACCCUGGUAGUCCUAGCCCUAAACGA
RNAcentral lists this ribosomal RNA (794 nucleotides) under uncultured bacterium. Its description in RNAcentral is "bacterial SSU rRNA". It matches the Rfam family "Bacterial small subunit ribosomal RNA", at positions 15 to 809 of the family's 1533-position model. The record is from RNAcentral.